Long non-coding RNA from Nerophis ophidion (straightnose pipefish), 1781 nucleotides. RefSeq lists it as uncharacterized. The transcript has 4 exons. The record is from RefSeq and is a predicted model, not a curated record. NCBI's taxonomy places the organism in Eukaryota, Metazoa, Chordata, Actinopteri, Syngnathiformes, Syngnathidae.
AUUUAAUUAUUUUGUGUUUUAAGUAAUUCUUUGACAAUAUAUAUAUUUAAUAUUUAUAAAAAAUUGUCUUGUCUAUCUGUGUUGGCCCUGCGAUAAGGUGGCGACUUGUCCAGGGUGUACGCCGACUUCUGCCCGAUUGUAGCUGAGAUAGUUUCCAGCCCGCCCGCGACCCCGAAGGGAAUAAGCGGUGGCGACUUGUCCAGGGUGUAUGCUGCCUUACGUCCGAUUGUAGCUGAGAUAACUUCCAGCACCCCCCGCGACCCCGAAGGGAAUAAGCGGUUGCGAUUUUCCAGGGUCUACCCCGCCUUCUGCCAAAAUGCAUCUGAGAGGCUCCAGCACCCCCCGCAACCCCAAAAGAGACAAGCGGUAGAAAAUGGAUGGAAGGAUUACAAAAAUCCAAAAAUAAAAUGGACCUGUGGCAAGCUAUCGACAAUAAAACAGGAAGCACAGCUGCAGGAGUAAUACUGAUUUUUUUUACACUCCACUGAUCAGGUUGGCGCCAACAUAGCCGGCCAGGUGAGCCCCCAAACUGACCCCGAUGAGGUGAAGUGAGCUCAGCGAGGCUCCUUCCUCCUGCGGACACAUUUCGCCUUUACUCCUACGAGCUCCCCCUCUCUGACAAGUCAGCACGCACCUGCAUGUUGCUGAUGAACCCCGUCAGGUUGGAGGCCGCGUCACUGGUGUAAGCCACGGCGGCGAUGUAGUUGAGGUUGGCGGCCCCCCGGUUCCAGUCCACCACGAUCACGUUCAUGUCCUCCUGCUCUGUCAGCAGCCGCACCAGGCGGUCGAUCCAGAUGGGCGGCGCCCCGGUGGGACGGUAGCCGUGGAUGACGAAGGCGGUGGGGCGAGAGAGGUUGAAGAGCGGCUGCGAGGGGAAGAGGUGGUGGUGGAGCUCGCGGCCGCAGCCCAGGUUGGAGCGCGUGUAGAGGAGCAGGCGCACGUACAAGCUGGUGCCCAUCAAGCAGUGGGACAGGUUCAGGUCGGUGAAGUUGUCGCACGGGUCGCCCGCGUCUUCCCAGCCUAGGCCAGGAAUUUCAAGAAAAAUUCUAAAACAAAUAGUCUUGAUGUUUUACCCCUUUUAUACCGAACACAUCUAAGAGUAGACACUAUGGCAGAAAAAUCACAUACUCAAAGCUAAUUGUCAAAUUACUGUUUUGAUUCAUUAUAUCCAUCCAUCCAUUUUCUACCGCUUAUUCCCUUUCAGGGUCGCGGGGGGCGCUGGCGCCUAUCUCAGCUACAAUCGGGCGGAAGGCAGGGUACACCCUGGACAAGUCGACACCUCAUCGCGGGGCCGGAAAAAAAAAUAAAAAAUAGAAAAAACACAAAAUAUGCAAUAUUUUCACCCAAUAAAUUUUUAUUUUUUUUAGGUGGAAUAUUUGAGAUUGUAUAAUAAUUGGAGCCUUCAUUUUGGAUUUUGAUUCAUUAUUAUUUUUUGAGCAAUGACACUUAAAAACAAAUUGGGGAUCCAAAAGUGUCCUACUCAUUAAAGUGUUAAAAAAUAAAUUACCGUAUUUCCUUGAAUUGCGGCAGGGUCAAACUCGCCUCGCAAAAUAAUUAGCGCAUGCUUAGUAUUACCGCCUGGUCAAACUCGAGACACUUCCCCUGCCAUCAUUUUCAAUAUCACUCAUCAUAAUAUAAUCACAGAAAGAAACUCAUUCAGAGGCUUCCUUAUUGCUGUCUGUUCUGGGUAUUUGUUCUGUUGUGUUACGGUGCGGAUGUUCUCCUGAAAUGUCUUUGUCAUUCUUGUUUGGUGUGGGUUCGCAGUGUGGCGCAUAUUUGUA